AAUCAACGCUGGCGGCGUGCCUCAGACAUGCAAGUCGAACGAUUAAACUUUCCUUCGGGAAAGAUAUAAAGUGGCGCACGGGUGAGUAACACGUAGGUAAUGUGCCUUUGGGUGGGGAAUAACUUAGGGAAACUUAAGCUAAUACCGCAUAAUGCAGCGGCUUCUUCGGAAGACAGUUGUUAAAGAUUUAUCGCCUAAAGAGCAGCCUGCGGCAGAUUAGCUAGUUGGUAAGGUAACGGCUUACCAAGGCUACGAUCUGUAUCCGACCUGAGAGGGUGGUCGGACACACUGACACUGAAUAACGGGUCAGACUCCUACGGGAGGCAGCAGUCGGGAAUUUUGGGCAAUGGGCGAAAGCCUGACCCAGCAACGCCGCGUGAA
This 381-nucleotide ribosomal RNA is filed under the name uncultured bacterium. RNAcentral's name for it is "bacterial SSU rRNA". It matches the Rfam family "Bacterial small subunit ribosomal RNA", at positions 32 to 405 of the family's 1533-position model. The record is from RNAcentral.